This 614-nucleotide ribosomal RNA is filed under the name uncultured bacterium. Its description in RNAcentral is "bacterial SSU rRNA". It matches the Rfam family "Bacterial small subunit ribosomal RNA", at positions 338 to 1413 of the family's 1533-position model. The record is from RNAcentral.
CCUACGGGAGGCAGCAGUGGGGAAUAUUGGACAAUGGGCGAAAGCCUGAUCCAGCAAUUCCGCGUGUGUGAAGAAGGCCUUCGGGUUGUAAAGCACUUUAGUUGGGGAAGAAACAGUUUGGCCACACCAAGCCUUGACGGUACCCAAAGAAUAAGCACCGGCUAACUCUGUGCCAGCAGCCGCGGUAAUACAGAGGGUGCAAGCGUUAAUCGGAUUUACUGGGCGUAAAGGGUGCGUAGGUGGUUUUGUAAGUCGGAUGUGAAAGCCUGGGGCUCAACCUCAGAAUUGCACUCGAUACUGCAAGACUAGAGUUCGGUAGAGGGCGGCGGAAUUCCCGGUGUAGCGGUGAAAUGCGUAGAUAUCGGGAGGAACAUCAAUGGCGAAGGCAGCCGCCUGGGCCUGAACUGACACUGAGGCACGAAAGCGUGGGUAGCAAACAGGAUUAGAUACCCUGGUAGUCCACGCUGUAAACGAUGAGAACUUGACGUUGGUUCGUUUUACGAAUCGGUGUCGCAGCUAACGCGAUAAGUUCUCCGCCUGGGGAGUACGGCCGCAAGGUUGAAACGUCAAAGAGUAGUACGACGUGAGAGUGCGACGAGACACCGAGGGAGGAG